GGGGAUGUAGCUCAGUGGUAGAGCGUCCGCUUCGCAUGCGGAAGGUCCGGGGUUCGAUCCCCCGCAUCUCCA
RNAcentral lists this transfer RNA (72 nucleotides) under Nematostella vectensis (starlet sea anemone). RNAcentral describes it as "tRNA-Ala". It matches the Rfam family "tRNA". Rfam says of the family: Transfer RNA (tRNA) molecules are approximately 80 nucleotides in length. Their secondary structure includes four short double-helical elements and three loops (D, anti-codon, and T loops). Lineage: Eukaryota; Metazoa; Cnidaria; Anthozoa; Actiniaria; Edwardsiidae. RNAcentral also lists the same sequence under 1 other name. The record is from Rfam by way of RNAcentral.